GACGAACGCUGGCGGCGUGCUUAACACAUGCAAGUCGAACGGAAAGGCCCUGCUUUUGUGGGGUGCUCGAGUGGCGAACGGGUGAAUAACACGUGAGUAACCUGCCCUUGACUUUGGGAUAACUUCAGGAAACUGGGGCUAAUACCGGAUAGGAGCUCCUGCUGCAUGGUGGGGGUUGGAAAGUUUCGGCGGUUGGGGAUGGACUCGCGGCUUAUCAGCUUGUUGGUGGGGUAGUGGCUUACCAAGGCUUUGACGGGUAGCCGGCCUGGGCGGGUGACCGGCCACAUUGGGACUGAGAUACGGCCCAGACUCCUACGGGAGGCAGCAGUGGGGAAUAUUGCACAAUGGGCGGAAGCCUGAUGCAGCAACGCCGCGUGCGGGAUGACGGCCUUCGGGUUGUAAACCGCUUUCGCCUGUGACGAAGCGUGAGUGACGGUAAUGGGUAAAGAAGCACCGGCUAACUACGUG
RNAcentral lists this ribosomal RNA (468 nucleotides) under uncultured bacterium. Its description in RNAcentral is "partial 16S ribosomal RNA". It matches the Rfam family "Bacterial small subunit ribosomal RNA", at positions 28 to 507 of the family's 1533-position model. The record is from RNAcentral.